This 440-nucleotide ribosomal RNA is filed under the name uncultured bacterium. RNAcentral's name for it is "partial 16S ribosomal RNA". It matches the Rfam family "Bacterial small subunit ribosomal RNA", at positions 338 to 795 of the family's 1533-position model. The record is from RNAcentral.
CCUACGGGAGGCAGCAGUAGGGAAUAUUGCUCAAUGGGGGAAACCCUGACGCAGCAACGCCGCGUGGAGGAUGCAGGUUUUCGGAUCGUAAACUCCUUUUGUUAGAGAAGAUAAUGACGGUAUCUAACGAAUAAGCACUUGCUAACUCCGUGCCAGCAGCCGCGGUCUUACGGAGGGUGCCAGCGUUCCUCGGAAUCACUGGGCGUAAAGAGCGCGUAGGCGGGAUAGCAAGUCAGAUGUGAAAGCCUAUGGCUUAACCAUAGAACUGCAUUUGAAACUGGUAUUCUAGAGUAUGGGAGAGGUAGGUGGAAGUCGUGGUGUAGGGGUGAAAUCCGUAGAGAUCAAGAGGAAGACUCAUUGCGAAGGCGACCUGCUAGAACAUAACUGACGCUGAUGCGCGAAAGCGUGGGGAGCAAACAGGAUUAGAUACCCCGGUAGUC